GCUGGUGUAGCUCAGUAGGUAGAGCACAUCCUUGGUAAGGAUGAGGUCACGGGUUCAAUUCCCGUCACCAGCUCCA
This 76-nucleotide transfer RNA is filed under the name Pseudomonadota bacterium. Its description in RNAcentral is "tRNA-Thr". It matches the Rfam family "tRNA". From Rfam's summary of the family: Transfer RNA (tRNA) molecules are approximately 80 nucleotides in length. Their secondary structure includes four short double-helical elements and three loops (D, anti-codon, and T loops). RNAcentral also lists the same sequence under 2 other names. The record is from RNAcentral. Lineage: Bacteria; Pseudomonadati; Pseudomonadota.